CAGUCGCCGCGGGAACACGGAGGGUGCAAGCGUUAUCCGGAUUUAUUGGGUUUAAAGGGUCCGUAGGCGGACUUAUAAGUCAGUGGUGAAAGCCUGUCGCUUAACGAUAGAACUGCCAUUGAUACUGUAAGUCUUGAGUAUAUUUGAGGUAGCUGGAAUAAGUAGUGUAGCGGUGAAAUGCAUAGAUAUUACUUAGAACACCAAUUGCGAAGGCAGGUUACCAAGAUAUAACUGACGCUGAGGGACGAAAGCGUGGGUAGCGAACAGGAUUAGAUACCCCGGUAGUCCCUGUCUCUUAUAA
RNAcentral lists this ribosomal RNA (301 nucleotides) under uncultured bacterium. Its description in RNAcentral is "partial 16S ribosomal RNA". It matches the Rfam family "Bacterial small subunit ribosomal RNA", at positions 509 to 809 of the family's 1533-position model. The record is from RNAcentral.